This 58-nucleotide transfer RNA is filed under the name Haemaphysalis mageshimaensis. RNAcentral's name for it is "tRNA-Cys". The record is from RNAcentral. Lineage: Eukaryota; Metazoa; Arthropoda; Arachnida; Ixodida; Ixodidae.
AAAUCUUAUUCAAUUAAACUGCAAAUUUAAUAAAGAAUCUACAAUUCUAAGAUUUAAU